GAUGAACGCUAGCGAUAGGCUUAACACAUGCAAGUCGAGGGGCAGCAUGGUCUUAGCUUGCUAAGACUGAUGGCGACCGGCGCACGGGUGCGUAACGCGUAUGCAACUUGCCUCACAGAGGGGGAUAACCCGUCGAAAGACGGACUAAUACCGCGUACACUCCAUCUUGGGCAUCCAAGGUAGAGGAAAUGAAAUUCGCUGUGAGAUAGGCAUGCGUCCCAUUAGCUAGUUGGUGAGGUAACGGCUCACUAAGGCGACGAUGGGUAGGGGAACUGAGAGGUUGAACCCCCACACUGGUACUGAGACACGGACCAGACUCCUACGGGAGGCAGCAGUGAGGAAUAUUGGUCAAUGGGCGAGAGCCUGAACCAGCCAAGUCGCGUGAAGGAUGACUGUCUUAUGGAUUGUAAACUUCUUUUAUACGGGAAUAACAAGAGUCACGUGUGACUCCCUGCGUGUACCGUAUGAAUAAGCAUCGGCUAACUCCGUG
This 490-nucleotide ribosomal RNA is filed under the name uncultured bacterium. Its description in RNAcentral is "partial 16S ribosomal RNA". It matches the Rfam family "Bacterial small subunit ribosomal RNA", at positions 28 to 507 of the family's 1533-position model. The record is from RNAcentral.